CCGUCGGUAGUGCAACGAUUCGGCACGCGCUUUUGGAAAAAGUGAGAUCUGGGUUCGAAUCCCGGCUGACACG
This is a non-coding RNA of Parelaphostrongylus tenuis, 73 nucleotides long. NCBI's taxonomy places the organism in Eukaryota, Metazoa, Nematoda, Chromadorea, Rhabditida, Metastrongylidae. The record is from the annotation of a GenBank genome assembly.